ACGGUAAAUUGUUUCGAAGACAUGAUUUGUGCAAAAUCAUUACUUGGAUCGAACUUAUAGACGGAUAUGGAAACUACGACGGAAAUGCCAACAACGACGACGGCAAGGGAAACUACGACUGAAAUGCCUACAACGACGGCGGAUAUGGAAACUACGACGGAAAUGCCAACAACGACG
Bactrocera oleae (olive fruit fly) is the source of this 177-nucleotide non-coding RNA. NCBI's taxonomy places the organism in Eukaryota, Metazoa, Arthropoda, Insecta, Diptera, Tephritidae. The record is from RefSeq and is a predicted model, not a curated record.